GUGUGUGUUUGGGGGGGGGGGGUGUUAUGGUGGUAUUAUAAUGCUUUUGAUUACAAUUCAUUUUAAUCAAGUAUGAUCUAAACCUCAUUGUGACAGCUUAAACACCAGCAUAUUUAAGCACUUUGUUACUGACACAGAAACCUUCCCAUUAAAACUUGCUCAUCCAGUUCUCUGACUAGGAAGAGAGAGAAACACAGACACACACCUACACACACAAAGGUAGAGAUCAGGUGGUCAGGUGACACAGCAGCUUGCAAGGGUGUAGGUGAAGGUGGAACUGCUAAAAAAUUUCCUCCUCAGAAAGAGCGAGCCUGUGUGAAAGGUCAUCAUGUCAGCUGAGAAUGAAGGCCUGGCCCAUUGUAAGUUCAUCCUGGUGUUUGCCAUCACUAUGGACCUCCUUGGGAUUACUAUAGUCCUGAUUGGAGUCUUUGUCCCACUAGAGGUUAAAGGUCAGGACUUCGGUGAUCUGCUGGUCUACUCGGGCGUGCUGUUGGUCCUGUUGUCCAUGGUCGGAUGGGUUAUAUGGUACAGUGGCAACAUCGAAGGCUUGCACUUAGCGAAGGACCUUGGCUAUAAACGUAGUACUGUGGAUCGCCUGGCUCGUUCACUCAGUCGCCGCAUACACAGAAGCUUUCACAUAACAUAGGCUGACCUUUCAAGACCUGAGACUUACUGUUACUGGAGUGUCAGAUUACCUUCAGUGCUCAAAUAUCCAAGAAUAGUACAGGUAUAUCGGUGUGGUUUAUUAGUUAUAUCUUAGUUACAACAGUUUACAGGCUACUGGCUAUAUGUGUGAAUAUUAUUUAUAUAUUUAGUCGACUGAACCAGAAACUAACAACCUGACAGCUUUGUGUUUAUUCAGAACUCUAUACAUAUUUCUCUAAAAUAUGAAUUUGAUCUAAUCAUAUCUAAUACUAUAAUCCAAUUAUAUUUAAUAUUAUACAACACAAUUAAAAUUUGGUAUCAAAGGCUUCAUAACAAGCACACAAUAUGCUCAUCUGUUUUAUCACAUCAUGUGAAUGGACCUAAUGUAAAUAUGGGAACAGUUGUUGUUUAAUUCACUUUGUUUUCCAUCUAUGUUGUAAUGGUACAAUUUUCCUAGUCCAUGGAUUAGUAAUUCAGUAAAUUAUGCCCAUAAUUAUGAGACAGCACUUCUCAUGUGUGUACUGCCAGGACUAUCACUGCUCUUUCCCAUUUUAUUUUAUGAAAUAAAUAAAGGGCAGGUCUAAAUAAAGACUGCUUUCUAAAGUCA
Molecule: long non-coding RNA, 1252 nt
Organism: Pangasianodon hypophthalmus (striped catfish)
Lineage: Eukaryota; Metazoa; Chordata; Actinopteri; Siluriformes; Pangasiidae
Exons: 2
Source: RefSeq, a predicted model, not a curated record